AUGGGGUCCUUGCCGCCGGGAGAGAAGCCGCACGCCGUGAUGAUCCCCUACCCGGCGCAGGGUCACAUCACGCCGAUGCUGAAGCUGGCCAAGCUGCUCCACACCAGGGGCUUCCACGUCACCUUCGUCAACAACGAGUUCAACCACCGCCGCCUGCUGCGCUCGCAGGGCGCGGACGCGCUGCAUGGCCUGCCCGCGUUUCGGUUCGCUGCCAUCGCCGACGGCCUCCCGCCGUCCGACCGCGAGGCCACGCAGGACGUUCCUGCGCUGUGCUACUCCACCAUGACCACCUGCCUCCCCGGGUUCAAGGAGCUCGUCGCCAAGCUCAACGAGGAGGCCGAGACCUUCGGUGGCGCGCUGCCGCCGGUCACCUGCGUGGUGGCCGAUAGCACCAUGACCUUCGCCCUCCGCGCCGCGCGGGAGCUUGGCCUCCGCUGCGCCACGCUCUGGACCGCCAGCGCUUGUGGUUUCAUGGGCUACUGCCACUUCAAGGAUCUAGUCCACCGCGGGCUCUUCCCUCUCAAAGAAGAGGCUCAGUUGAGCGAUGGAUACUUGGACACGACCAUCGACUGGAUACCGGCGGCGCCCAAGGACCUGCGGCUGCGUGACCUCCCGAGCUUCUUCCGCACCACCGACCCCGAUGACAUCAUGUUCAACUUCUUCAUCCACGAGACGGCCGGCAUGUCGCAGGCGUCGGGGGUGGUCAUCAACACCUUCGACGAGCUCGACGCGCCACUGCUUGAUGCCAUGUCCAAGCUCCUGCCGCCCGUCUACACAGUGGGGCCGCUCCAUCUCACGGUUCGCAACAACGUGCCGGAGGAUAGCCCCGUCGCCGGCAUCGGGUCCGACCUGUGGAAGGAAGAGGAUGCGCCCCUCCGGUGGCUCGACGGCCGACCGCCGCGCUCCAUGGUGUACGUCAACUUCGGGAGCAUCACGGUGAUGUCGAACGAGCACUUGCUGGAAUUCGCGUGGGGGCUGGCCAACACCGGCUACGCCUUCCUGUGGAACGUGCGGCCUGACCUCGUCAAGGGCGACGGGGCCGCACUUCCAACGGAGUUCUCCGCGGCGAUGGAGGGACGGAGCAUGCUGUCGACGUGGUGCCCGCAGGAGAAGGUGCUGGAGCACGAGGCCGUUGGGGUGUUCCUGACGCACUCCGGGUGGAACUCGGCGUUGGAGAGCAUCUGCGGCGGCGUGCCGAUGGUGUGCUGGCCGUUCUUUGCGGAGCAGCAGACCAACUAUCGGUACAAGUGCACGGAGUGGGGCAUCGGAAUGGAGAUUGGGGACGAUGUGAGGAGGGCCGAGGUCGAGGCCAUGAUACGGGAGACCAUGGAGGGGGAGAAAGGCCGAGAGAUGCGGCGGCGCGUGCUGGAGCUCCGCGGGAGCGCGGUGGCCUCCGCACGGCGUGGCGGAAGGUCCAUGCGCAACGUUGAUAGGCUCAUCCACGAGGUGCUGCUGGCUUGA
Molecule: ribosomal RNA, 1461 nt
Filed under: Triticum aestivum (bread wheat)
Lineage: Eukaryota; Viridiplantae; Streptophyta; Magnoliopsida; Poales; Poaceae
Description: partial small subunit ribosomal RNA
Source: RNAcentral